RNAcentral lists this ribosomal RNA (119 nucleotides) under Helictotrichon sarracenorum. Lineage: Eukaryota; Viridiplantae; Streptophyta; Magnoliopsida; Poales; Poaceae. The record is from RNAcentral.
GGAUGCGAUCAUACCAGCACUAAAGCACCGGAUCCCAUCAGAACUCCGAAGUUAAGCGUGCUUGGGCGAGAGUAGCACUAGGAUGGGUGUCCUCCUGGGUUGUCCUCAUGUUGCAUCCC